AAAAACAUGUCCGUUUGAAUAUUGUUGUAAACGGUCUGGCCUGCCCACUGACUGUAGUUGAAGGGCCGCGGUAUUCUGACCGUGCGAAGGUAGCAUAAUAAUUAGUCUCCUAAUUAGAGGCUUGUAUGAAUGGUCGGACAAGAUGGGUGCUGUCUCAGUACGAGUAAAUAUAAAUUAAUAUUUGAGUAAAAAAGCUUAAAUGUGUUGAAGUGACGAUAAGACCCUAUAAAGCUUUAUGAUUUUUACUUUUUUGUGUAAAAUAGUUAAGUUAAAAUCACUGAAAAAGAAAAACCAUUUUACUGGGGCGGUAAAAGUAUAAAGUGAAUAACUGCUUUUGUUGUGGAUAACAAAAAUAAUUGAUAUCUAGAUUGAUCCGUUAAUAACGAUUAUAAAAACAAGUUACUUUAGGGAUAACAGCGUAAUUUUCUUUGAGAGUCCUUAUCGAAAAGAAAGUUUGCGACCUCGAUGUUGAAUUAAGAAUUACCUUAAGGUGCAGCAGCUUUAAAGGUGGAUCUGUUCGAUCCAUAAUUUCUUACGUGAUCU
RNAcentral lists this ribosomal RNA (543 nucleotides) under Acanthosquilla derijardi. RNAcentral describes it as "partial large subunit ribosomal RNA". It matches the Rfam family "Bacterial large subunit ribosomal RNA", at positions 1809 to 2606 of the family's 2925-position model. Lineage: Eukaryota; Metazoa; Arthropoda; Malacostraca; Stomatopoda; Nannosquillidae. The record is from RNAcentral.